AACGUACUCUCCAUCCAACAAAGGAUGUAUCAACUUUGACUAAAUUUGAAUGUAUCUAUACACUAAGUCAUGUUUAGAUACAUUCAAAUUUUGACAAACUUAAGACAUCUUUUAUUGGCCGGAGGAAGUAAUUG
This is a non-coding RNA of Brachypodium distachyon (stiff brome), 134 nucleotides long. NCBI's taxonomy places the organism in Eukaryota, Viridiplantae, Streptophyta, Magnoliopsida, Poales, Poaceae. The record is from Rfam.